Molecule: ribosomal RNA, 1611 nt
Filed under: Triticum aestivum (bread wheat)
Lineage: Eukaryota; Viridiplantae; Streptophyta; Magnoliopsida; Poales; Poaceae
Description: partial small subunit ribosomal RNA
Source: RNAcentral
AUGGAUUUGAACUUGAUCCCGGAAGAGGAGGACGAAGCUCAACAAGAAGAACAAGCUCAUCAAGGUGACGCUAUUGAUUUGAACUUGAUCCCGGAAGAGGAGGAUGAAGCUCAACAAGAAGAACAAGCUCAUCAAGGUGAUGCUAUUGAUUUGAACUUGAUCCCGGAAGAGGAGGAUGAAGACAUUGAAUUGAAUUGGUUUCCUGAAGAGGAAGAAGCUCAAGAUGCACAAGAAGAUGCAGAAGUGCAAGAAGCUCAAGAGGCACAAGAAGAUGCAGAGGUGCAAGAAGCUCAAGAAGCUGAUGGACAUGGCAAUCCAAGAGGGAAGGACAUGACAGACAAGGAGAGACAUGGUGUUUACUUUUCUCUUCGAGUAAUCGAGCUUAGAGAUGGACAGGUUCACGUGUAUGACAAGGUGCGCAUUGCGACUAUGCUGAAUGUUAACCUGCGAACAGUUACAAGAAUAUGGAAUCUAGCCAAACGACAACUUGCAACAGGCCAAGAAGUUGAUGUUUCAAGCAAGAAGAACAAAAGUGGUAGGAAGAGAAAAGGACUAGAUCUGUCGAGAAUAGCCACAAUCCCUUUGAACAACAGAAGCAGAAUCCGUUCUCUAGCCAGGUGUUUAGGUGUGCCCCGAUCAACCCUACAUGACAGAUUUCAACUGCAAGAGCUGAAACGCAUCACAAGCACCAUCAAACCCACCCUCAAGCCACAAAACAAGAUAGCGAGACUAAAGUUCUGCCUAUCCAUGAUGGAUGAAAGAUGGAUAUCAAGUCCUUGGCCCAGGUUCAAGCCAAUGACAAAUAUGGUCCACAUCGAUGAGAAAUGGUAUGAUAUGACCCGAGUGAAGAGUAGCUACUACGUACUGCCUGGAGAAGAAGAACCAAAUCGAACUAUGCACAAUACUCAUAGCAUUGGGAAGGUAAUGUUUCUAACAGCUGUGGCCAAACCUCGCUACAAUGAAGAUGGGGAGAUGACAUUUGAUGGAAAACUUGGCAUUUGGCCAUUCGUGGUACAGACCGAGGCACAACGAACAAGCCAGAACAGAGAUAGGGGGACAAUAGAGUUGAAGCCGGUCAAAGUUACUAGACCUAUGUGCAGAGAUUACCUGAUCAAUAAAGUAAUCCCUACCAUUCAAGAAAAAUGGCCUGACGGUAACGAGGACACAACGAUCUUCAUUCAACAAGAUAAUGCAACACCGCAUGUCCUCCCUAAUGAUGCUGGUUUUCUAGAAGCCGUGGCACAGACAGAUCUGGAUAUUCGAUUAUUGCAACAACCACCAAACAGCCCCGAGCUCAGUGUUCUAGAUCUUUGUUUCCACUGCUCCCUCCAAUCCCUAACCGACUGCAGAGCGCCUAUGAAUAUACAGGAACUGGUACAUGGUGUAGAGGAGGAGUUUGAGAACUACAAUGCCCAUAAGUUGUUCAAAAGCUUUAUGACAUUGCAAGCAGUCAUGGUUGAAGUGAUGAAAGAUCAAGGAGGAAACAACUACAAGAUGCCGCAUCUGCAUAAGGAAUGUCUACAGAAUGCUGGAGAGGAAAUAAUCGGUGUAUACUGCAGUCCUGAGCUAAUUACUGACACCAAGGCCAUUAUAGAACAAGGAAAUGAUUAG